This 497-nucleotide ribosomal RNA is filed under the name uncultured bacterium. RNAcentral's name for it is "partial 16S ribosomal RNA". It matches the Rfam family "Bacterial small subunit ribosomal RNA", at positions 28 to 507 of the family's 1533-position model. The record is from RNAcentral.
GAUGAACGCUGGCGGCGUGCCUAAUACAUGCAAGUCGAGCGAACGGACGAGAAGCUUGCUUCUCUGAUGUUAGCGGCGGACGGGUGAGUAACACGUGGAUAACCUACCUAUAAGACUGGGAUAACUUCGGGAAACCGGAGCUAAUACCGGAUAAUAUUUUGAACCGCAUGGUUCAAAAGUGAAAGACGGUCUUGCUGUCACUUAUAGAUGGAUCCGCGCUGCAUUAGCUAGUUGGUAAGGUAACGGCUUACCAAGGCAACGAUGCAUAGCCGACCUGAGAGGGUGAUAGGCCACACUGGAACUGAGACAUGGUCCAGACUCCUACGGGAGGCAGCAGUAGGGAAUCUUCCGCAAUGGGCGAAAGCCUGACGGAGCAACGCCGCGUGAGUGAUGAAGGUCUUCGGAUCGUAAAACUCUGUUAUUAGGGAAGAACAUAUGUGUAAGUAACUGUGCACAUCUUGACGGUACCUAAUCAGAAAGCCACGGCUAACUACGUG